GACGAACGCUGGCGGCGUGCCUAAUACAUGCAAGUAGAACGCACAGUUUAUACCGUAGCUUGCUCCACCAUAGACUGUGAGUUGCGAACGGGUGAGUAACGCGUAGGUAACCUGCCUGGUAGCGGGGGAUAACUAUUGGAAACGAUAGCUAUUAACGCAUAAUAUUAAUUAUUGCAUGAUAAUUAAUUGAAAGGUGCAAUUGCACCACUACCAGAUGGACCUGCGUUGUAUUAGCUAGUAGGUGAGGUAACGGCUCACCUAGGCGACGAUACAUAGCCGACCUGAGAGGGUGAUCGGCCACACUGGGACUGAGACACGGCCCAGACUCCUACGGGAGGCAGCAGUAGGGAAUCUUCGGCAAUGGACGAAAGUCUGACCGAGCAACGCCGCGUGAGUGAAGAAGGUUUUCGGAUCGUAAAGCUCUGUUGUAAGAGAAGAACGGGUGUGAGAGUGGAAAGUUCACACUGUGACGGUAUCUUACCAGAAAGGGACGGCUAACUACGUG
Molecule: ribosomal RNA, 505 nt
Filed under: uncultured bacterium
Lineage: Bacteria
Description: partial 16S ribosomal RNA
Rfam family: Bacterial small subunit ribosomal RNA
Source: RNAcentral